RNAcentral lists this transfer RNA (74 nucleotides) under Haliotis rubra (blacklip abalone). RNAcentral describes it as "tRNA-Thr". It matches the Rfam family "tRNA". From Rfam's summary of the family: Transfer RNA (tRNA) molecules are approximately 80 nucleotides in length. Their secondary structure includes four short double-helical elements and three loops (D, anti-codon, and T loops). Further hydrogen bonds mediate the characteristic L-shaped molecular structure. tRNAs have two regions of fundamental functional importance: the anti-codon, which is responsible for specific mRNA codon recognition, and the 3' end, to which the tRNAs corresponding amino acid is attached (by aminoacyl-tRNA synthetases). tRNAs cope with the degeneracy of the genetic code in two manners: having more than one tRNA (with a specific anti-codon) for a particular amino acid; and 'wobble' base-pairing, i.e. permitting non-standard base-pairing at the 3rd anti-codon position. The record is from RNAcentral. Lineage: Eukaryota; Metazoa; Mollusca; Gastropoda; Lepetellida; Haliotidae.
GCCUCCAUAGCUCAGUGGUGAGAGCACUGGUCUUGUAAAACCAGGGGUCGUGAGUUCGAUCCUCACUGGGGCUA